Molecule: unclassified non-coding RNA, 256 nt
Filed under: uncultured fungus
Lineage: Eukaryota; Fungi
Description: sequence contains ITS2
Source: RNAcentral
AACGCACAUUGCGCCCCUUGGUAUUCCGGGGGGCACACCUGUUCGAGCGUCAUUACACCAAUCAAGCCUUGCUUGGUAUUGGGCCUGGCCCCCCCGUAAAAAGGGGGACCGGCCUUAAAGAUCGUGGCGGCAUGGUCCGGCUUCAAGCGUAGCAAAUGUUUUCGCUCAUGAGGUUUCCGGAUGAUGUUCUGUCCAUAUAAAUUAUUAUUUUUCAAAGGUUGACCUCGGAUCAGGUGGGGAUACCCGCUGAACUUAA